GAUGAACGCUAGCGGCAGGCCUAAUACAUGCAAGUCGAGGGGUAGAGAAGGCUUGCUUUCUUGAGACCGGCGCACGGGUGCGUAACGCGUAUGCAACCUACCUUUAUCUGGGGGAUAGCCCGGAGAAAUCCGGAUUAAUACCGCAUAAAAUCACAGAAUAGCAUUAUUUAAUGAUCAAACAUUUAUGGGAUGAAGAUGGGCAUGCGUGUCAUUAGCUAGUUGGCGGGGUAACGGCCCACCAAGGCGACGAUGACUAGGGGAUCUGAGAGGAUGGCCCCCCACACUGGUACUGAGACACGGACCAGACUCCUACGGGAGGCAGCAGUAAGGAAUAUUGGUCAAUGGAGGCAACUCUGAACCAGCCAUGCCGCGUGCAGGAUGACUGCCCUAUGGGUUGUAAACUGCUUUUAUCCGGGAAUAAACCUACUUACGUGUAAGUAGCUGAACGUACCGGAGGAAUAAGGAUCGGCUAACUCCGUGCCAGCAGCCGCGGUAAUACGGAGGAUCCAAGCGUUAUCCGGAUUUAUUGGGUUUAAAGGGUGCGUAGGCGGCCUGUUAAGUCAGGGGUGAAAGACGGUAGCUCAACUAUCGCAGCGCCCUUGAUACUGAUGGGCUUGAAUGGACUAGAGGUAGGCGGAAUGAGACAAGUAGCGGUGAAAUGCAUAGAUAUGUCUCAGAACACCGAUUGCGAAGGCAGCUUACUAUGGUCUUAUUGACGCUGAGGCACGAAAGCGUGGGGAUCAAACAGGAUUAGAUACCCUGGUAGUCCACGCCCUAAACGAUGAACACUCGCUGUUGGCGAUACACAGUCAGCGGCUAAGCGAAAGCGUUAAGUGUUCCACCUGGGGAGUACGCCCGCAAGGGUGAAACUCAAAGGAAUUGACGGGGGCCCGCACAAGCGGAGGAGCAUGUGGUUUAAUUCGAUGAUACGCGAGGAACCUUACCCGGGCUUGAAAGUUAGUGAAUUAUCCAGAGAUGGAUAAGUGAGCAAUCACACGAAACUAGGUGCUGCAUGGCUGUCGUCAGCUCGUGCCGUGAGGUGUUGGGUUAAGUCCCGCAACGAGCGCAACCCCUAUGUUUAGUUGCCAGCACGUUAAGGUGGGGACUCUAAACAGACUGCCUGUGCAAACAGAGAGGAAGGAGGGGACGACGUCAAGUCAUCAUGGCCCUUACGUCCGGGGCUACACACGUGCUACAAUGGAUGGUACAGAGGGCAGCUACAUAGCAAUAUGAUGCGAAUCUCACAAAGCCAUUCACAGUUCGGAUUGGGGUCUGCAACUCGACCCCAUGAAGUUGGAUUCGCUAGUAAUCGCGUAUCAGCAAUGACGCGGUGAAUACGUUCCCGGGCCU
This 1350-nucleotide ribosomal RNA is filed under the name uncultured bacterium. Its description in RNAcentral is "bacterial SSU rRNA". It matches the Rfam family "Bacterial small subunit ribosomal RNA", at positions 28 to 1381 of the family's 1533-position model. The record is from RNAcentral.